This 446-nucleotide ribosomal RNA is filed under the name uncultured bacterium. RNAcentral describes it as "partial 16S ribosomal RNA". It matches the Rfam family "Bacterial small subunit ribosomal RNA", at positions 338 to 795 of the family's 1533-position model. The record is from RNAcentral.
CCUACGGGAGGCUGCAGUCGAGAAUCAUUCACAAUGGGGGAAACACUGAUGGUGCGACGCCGCGUGGGGGAAUGAAGGUCUUCGGAUUGUAAACCCCUGUCAUGUGGGAGCAAAUUAAAAAGAUAGUACCACAAGAGGAAGAGACGGCUAACUCUGUGCCAGCAGCCGCGGUAAUACAGAGGUCUCAAGCGUUGUUCGGAUUCACUGGGCGUAAAGCGUGCGUAGGCUGUUUCGUAAGUCGUGUGUGAAAGGCGCGGGCUCAACCCGCGGACGGCACAUGAUACUGCGAGACUAGAGUAAUGGAGGGGUAACCGGAAUUCUCGGUGUAGCAGUGAAAUGCUUAGAUAUCGAGAGGAACACUCGUGGCGAAGGCGGGUUCCUGGACAUUAACUGACGCCGAGGCACGAAGGCCAGGGGAGCGAAAGGGAUUAGAUACCCUGGUAGUC